RNAcentral lists this ribosomal RNA (261 nucleotides) under uncultured Acetobacteraceae bacterium. RNAcentral's name for it is "partial 16S ribosomal RNA". It matches the Rfam family "Bacterial small subunit ribosomal RNA", at positions 572 to 832 of the family's 1533-position model. The record is from RNAcentral. Lineage: Bacteria; Pseudomonadati; Pseudomonadota; Alphaproteobacteria; Acetobacterales; Acetobacteraceae.
UAGGCGGCAUGUACAGUCAGAAGUGAAAUUCCUGGGCUCAACCUGGGGACUGCUUUUGAUACGUGCAAGCUWGAGUGAGGAAGAGGGUUGUGGAAUUUCCAGUGUAGAGGUGAAAUUCGUAGAUAUUGGAAAGAACACCGGUGGCGAAGGCGGCAACCUGGUCCUUUACUGACGCUGAGGCGCGAAAGCGUGGGGAGCAAACAGGAUUAGAUACCCUGGUAGUCCACGCUGUAAACGAUGUGUGCUGGAUGUUGGGGAACU